CCUGGGCCGCAGCCCAGCUCCAGCAGGAAGGACUUGGGUCUCCAUGCUGGGCGUCCCAGCCUCUCCUCCUCUUUGCCCUCCCAGCCCAUACCUGGGCAGCGGAGGAGGGGCAAGGGCACAGGGUGGCCCCUCUGAACCAGGCUCCCUGAGGCCACCUGGACACUGUGGCAACAUGGGCAAGAACUGGCUUCCAUGGCAACUGGCGUCCAGGGAGGCGCUGCCUGGCAACAGGGCCAUGGCCCCCCCAGCACGCCGUACUGGCCACACUUUCCGCCCUUGAGGCCGAGAGUUCCGGCUUCCAGCCAGUGCCCCCGCCACAGCCGCAGCCGCGCCCUGUCCUGCACGACAUCCCGUAGCCUGGACCUGAGGCGAACCCCUAUGCCCACCCCAAUCCGGGACACCGCUUGGCAGGGCACUCGGCCUUUGUUAGCGUAUCUGACCCUGGGCCACCCGUCUCCAUGAAGACCUUUCCCUCCUCAGCAUCCUGGCCCCUGAGGGGCACCUAGCAGGCUGGGGACAUACGGAGCAGGUGCAGCCCCCACCCCACUCAGGGACACAGAGAGCAGGGGGCAGCCCCCGCCCCACUUACUCAGGGACCCAGAGAGCAGGGGGCAGUCCCCGCCCCACUCACUCAGGGACACAGAGAGCAGGGGGCAACCCCCCGCCCACUCACUCAGGGACACAGAGAGCAGGGGGCAGCCCCCCGCCCACUCACUCAGGGACACAGAGAGCAGGGGGCAGUCCCCGCCCCUGCUGCACAGGACCUCCUCCAUCCCACCCCAGGGCCACCUCGCCUCAGGGCUCCUCCAAGCGGCCUUCCUUAGCCCCCAUCCCAAGUUGCCCCAUGGGGUUUCUCAGCUCAGCACCUCCUGAGACCCAUGACAUUCCAGCAAAGAAUGAAAAGGGCACAGGCUAGGGGAGGGUCCUAGAAGCUGCCACCACCCUCUGGCAGCUAAACAGACAGCCUCUGGCAGCCAGGACCAGGUGUCCAGCCGCCUCUGCUGGGGAGGCCCCACGUGGCACCGAGAACAGGAGAGAGGUCAUCUGCAGACAAGAUAUUUCGAGACACUUGAGGUGGAGAGUGGAGGCUGACGUAGCAGGACAGCCUGGCAGGAAGAAGGCAAGCGGCAGCCAAGCAGUGGCCUCGUCACUGGUGUGAGGAGACAUGUGCUGCGAACAAGCAUGGCAGGACAGCAGUGGGAGCUGGUACUGUCCCCACUCCAGACGGCAGCCCUGCAGCCCGAGAUGCCGCCUGGAGGCAGGAGGCCUCCCUCCCAAGACCUGGGUGUCCGGCUUCCUCAAGUUAAAAAGGAGAGAGGAGUGCCUGGCAGCUCUGCCUGCCUCCCCUAUAAACAGGGAUCGAAAAGAAGGAAAAGGCAGAUAUUUGAGCACUGAGUCUCAUAGGAAGUUCCAAGACUAAACAAAACAGAACCACAAGAGAGAAAAUGCAGAAAGAAAAGAUUUGCCUUCCCCCAAACCCACUUUAUCCCUAAGAGCAGAACAGAAUUCUCUGGAACUAGAAGAGGGGAGCUUGGGGAACGAUGGAGAUGUCUUGGAAAUGAAAAACAGGACUGCUAAAAUCCAAAACCAA
This is a non-coding RNA of Chlorocebus sabaeus (green monkey), 1591 nucleotides long. Lineage: Eukaryota; Metazoa; Chordata; Mammalia; Primates; Cercopithecidae. The record is from RefSeq and is a predicted model, not a curated record.